RNAcentral lists this ribosomal RNA (301 nucleotides) under uncultured bacterium. Its description in RNAcentral is "bacterial SSU rRNA". It matches the Rfam family "Bacterial small subunit ribosomal RNA", at positions 28 to 324 of the family's 1533-position model. The record is from RNAcentral.
GACGAACGCUGGCGGCGUGCCUAACACAUGCAAGUCGAGGGAGAAGGAGGUAGCAAUACUUCCGGAAACCGGCGCACGGGUGAGUAACACGUAGGUAACCUACCCUUGAGCGGGGAACAACAUCGAGAAAUCGGUGCUAAUACCGCAUAAUGCAACGAGACCGCAUGGUUUGUUGUUAAAGAUCCGCAAGGAUCACUUGAGGAUGGACCUGCGCCCGAUUAGCUAGUUGGCGGAGUAAAGCCCACCAAGGCAACGAUCGGUAGCCGACCUGAGAGGGUGAUCGGCCACACUGGAACUGAGA